UACGUAGGGGGCAAGCGUUGUCCGGAAUUAUUGGGCGUAAAGAGCGUGUAGGCGGUCCGGUAAGUCAGCUGUGAAAGUUUGCGGCUCAACCGUAAAAUUGCUUUUGAUACUGCUGUGCUAGAAUUAGGAUGAGGUCAGCGGAAUGUGGCAUGUAGCGGUGAAAUGCAUAGAUAUGCCAUAGAACACCAAUUGCGAAGGCAGCUGGCUAGACCUAUAUUGACGCUGAGGCACGAAAGCGUGGGGAGCGAGCAGG
This 253-nucleotide ribosomal RNA is filed under the name uncultured bacterium. RNAcentral describes it as "partial 16S ribosomal RNA". It matches the Rfam family "Bacterial small subunit ribosomal RNA", at positions 524 to 776 of the family's 1533-position model. The record is from RNAcentral.